GCUACUGAAGUGAGCUUUGAAAUUUCUCGAUUAAUAGCGAAAAGUUGUCGGCCCUUCAAAGAUAGCGAAUUUGUUAAUAAAAUGUGUCCGGAAAUGGCCAAGAAGUUUGAGAAAAUUCAACUCAAUCGGAUGACCAUUCAAAGAAGGAUCACGGCUUUAUCGACUGAUAUAGAACAGCAGUUAGGUAUAAAAUCUAAAAACUUUGAGUUUUUUUCAUUGGCACUUGACGAAUCUACUGAUUUUAGUUCUACUGCUCAACUCUUAUCUUACGAGGUGUGACGCAAGAUUUUGAAGUCUGUGAAGAGCUGAUUGGUAUGAGUUCUUUCACAAGUCAAACAAAAGGAAGUGACAUGCUCACGGCCCGUCUGCAAGAAUGCUCUAAAAUGGAUUCAAAUUCAACAAAAUUAUCUGGAAUUACGACUGACGGAGCUCCUUCAAUGGUUGGGAGCAAAUCUGGGAUAAUAACUUUGUUCAAAGAAUAUUUGAAAAGUCUAAACAUAGACACGGAAGAAAUAAUGCAGUUCCAUUGCAUUAUACAUCAAGAGGCCCUCUGUGCAAAAAUAUUGGGAUUUGAAGACUUGAUGAAGGUUAUUGUUACAACAAUAAAUUUUAUAAAAUCUUGCGGUCUUAAUUACUGAUAGUUCAAAAAAUUUCUCGAAGACAUUGACAGUGAAUAUGGUGAUCUGUUAUUUUAUACUGAAGUAAGGUGAUUAAGUCGUGGAUUGACACUGGAGAGAUUUCUUAAUUUGAUAGAAAAAAUCAAAAUAUUUCUGACGGAAAAGAAAAGAGAACUCGUCAAUCCUGACUGGUUGUGUGACUUAGCUUUUCUAGUCGAUAUCACUAGUCAUUUGAAUAUCUUAAACACGCGCUUCCAGAGUAAGGAUCAACUGAUUUCUAAACUGUACGCUCAUGUAUCGUCUUUCAAAUGCAAGUUGAGUCUUUUCAGGUCCCAAAUAAAUUCAGCUAAUUACGCCCAUUUCCCAACCUAUAAAAAAUUUGCAGAGAACAUUUCCCCUGAGAAUGCACCCUAGUCAAUGCAGCUGGAAUUAAUAGACAUUCAAAAUAAUGAGAAUUUAAAAAACAAAUUUAUUGAAGGAAUUUUACUCAACUUCUACAGUUGCCUUGAUAAAAACAAUUACAAAGAAUUGCGAAAAAACGCACUAAAAUGCAGCAGCCUAUUUGGUUCAACCUAUAUAUGCGAACAAACGUUUUCUCUCAUGAAUCUCAACAAAAUGAAAAAUAGGAACCGCUUAGCUCAUUGGCUAAGUUUGGAAGCAAUUUUACGUGUGGCGACAUCUAAUUUGGAGCCAGAUAUUAAAAGAUUCGUGAAAUUUAUGCAGUGUCAUGCAUCAAAGUGAACUUUUAGUUACAUAACAAUUAAGUUUAGUUUUAUAAGUUUAAUUAAGUUUGUUUUUGAUAUUAUAUAGUUAUAUUUAAUUUUUAAUAUAAAUAAAUAUGUAUAUUAAAAUUAUAUUUAUUUACAUUUAUAUAAAUAAUUAAAUAUUUAAAUAUUCAGUUAGUUUUGGAAUUAUAUUAUUUGAAAUUAAAUAUUAUCCGGCUGUUUUUGUUCAGAAUUCAAUCCAUGACAGCAAUAUUUUUAUUUCUAUGGACACAAGAAAAGAUCAGAAGACCAGAAGAUCAUUCUGGGAUCAUUACAACUUCAAGCCAAUGUGAUCCCAGAAGAAAAACAAUACGAAAAGAGAACACACACAAAUACACACACACACACACAUGUUGUCAAUCUCUACAGCAAAUUUGUUAUACAUAUCGGGUGCGGAAAAUUGAGGGCGAAUGAUGAUGAUGAUGAUUUUUAUUUGUAGCGGCCCGCCUUUGGAUCUUAAUCCCUCAAGGGGCCUCUGUUUUAGAUAAUUCUGUGCACCCCUGCUCUAAACGAAUAAUCGAGUCUGACAUUGUUGUUCAAACAGUCCCUAAUUAAUUAUCCAAUAUUAUUAAAUUAUAUUAAAAUUGAAAUUACACCCCUUUUCUGUUGCAUCUAAAAACUCUGUAUAUCUCAUACAUAAUUGGUUUUUUAUAAAGUUGAUUCAGUUUCAAGUGCUUGUCCAAGAAAAAUGUCAUUUAAAUUUGCUAUCCAUAGAUACUUCGAUCAAAUAGAUCACAACAAACAAGAAAAUAUCAAGUCACCGGAGAGGUCCCCAAAUCUCGCUACUAGGGCAACUUCUCUGGAACGUUAUAUACGACGUUAUUUAAGUAUUGUUGAUAAUUAAUACUAAUACCAACAUGGGUCAUUUUGGAGAAAUUUCGACUCAACAAAUAACAAAAAAUAUGGAAAAAUCAAUCCCGCAAUCCACAAAAAUACUAAAGCGUCAGUAUGGAGACAAACAAAAGUUUUCUCGAAUUUACGAACUAUCGAAAAUAAUUCCAUUACAAAAAGUAGCAAAUAUAUUAAAUUAUCGGGCCUAUAAUAUGAAAAAGAGGAAUGGAGAAGAUUAUUAAUCAUAUGCAGUUAAAUCAAUUUGGAAUUCAACUGCGAAGAUGAUUCCAGAAAAAUAUUUCAAUGAAUACAAUAUUAAAUUUGAUCCUUUUACUGACAAUUUUUAAAGAAGCUCGUGAUGUGAGAAAUAGUAAACGGGAAGAAUUACAAGUUAUUCCAGAGAAAAGAAAAGUAAGUUCUGUAGCUGUAGCAUUGAACAAGAAAGAUAUAGUAAAAUAGCAAAAUUGUGGAAUAUAGACAACCCAGAGGAAUUACAAAAAAUAUUCUUUCAUAUAACUUCUUAUGAAUUAGAUUGGAGGGGGGAGAAGCUGCAAACUGUAAAAUUUACAAUUUUAAAGAAGACAAAAACUUCAACAAGAAGAUUUAAGUACAAUACAAUAUUUUCAAAGACGAAACAGGGUGGUUCGAAAAAAAUUGGCAGACAGCAAAUGGAUAACAAAAAAUUAAUGAAAUGAAAUGAAGGUAUUUGUCCCGUUGUUAAAAUUACUGUUACAAAAAAGAAA
Long non-coding RNA from Diorhabda carinulata, 2955 nucleotides. RefSeq lists it as uncharacterized. The transcript is spliced from 2 exons. Lineage: Eukaryota; Metazoa; Arthropoda; Insecta; Coleoptera; Chrysomelidae. The record is from RefSeq and is a predicted model, not a curated record.